GACGAACGCUGGCGGCGUGCUUAACACAUGCAAGUCGAACGGAAAGGCCCUGCUUUUGUGGGGUGCUCGAGUGGCGAACGGGUGAGUAACACGUGAGUAACCUGCCCUUGACUUUGGGAUAACUUCAGGAAACUAGGGCUAAUACCGGAUAGGAGCUCCUGCUGCAUGGUGGGGGUUGGAAAGUUUCGGCGGUUGGGGAUGGACUCGCGGCUUAUCAGCUUGUUGGUGGGGUAGUGGCUUACCAAGGCUUUGACGGGUAGCCGGCCUGAGAGGGUGACCGGCCACAUUGGGACUGAGAUACGGCCCAGACCCCUACGGGAGGCAGCAGUGGGGAAUAUUGCACAAUGGGCGGAAGCCUGAUGCAGCAACGCCGCGUGCGGGAUGACGGCCUUCGGGUUGUAAACCGCUUUCGCCUGUGACGAAGCGUGAGUGACGGUAAUGGGUAAAGAAGCACCGGCUAACUACGUG
Molecule: ribosomal RNA, 468 nt
Filed under: uncultured bacterium
Lineage: Bacteria
Description: partial 16S ribosomal RNA
Rfam family: Bacterial small subunit ribosomal RNA
Source: RNAcentral